CCUACGGGUGGCAGCAGUGGGGAAUAUUGCACAAUGGGGGAAACCCUGAUGCAGCGACGCCGCGUGAGUGAAGAAGUAUUUCGGUAUAUAAAGCUCUAUCAGCAGGGAAGAAAAUGACGGUACCUGAUUAAGAAGCCACGGCUAACUACGUGCCAGCAGCCGCGGUAAUACGUAGGGGGCAAGCGUUAGACGGAUUUACGGGGUGGAAAGGGAGCGUAGACGGCUGCACAAGUCUGGAGUGAAAUGCCGGGGCUUAACCCCGGAACUGCUUUGGAAACUGGGCAGCUAGAGUGCAGUAGAGGUAAGUGGAAUUCCUAGUGUAGCGGUGAAAUGCGUAGAUAUUAGGAGGAACACCAGUGGCGAAGGCGGCUUACUGGACUGUAACUGACGUUGAGGCUCGAAAGCGUGGGGAGCAAACAGGAUUAGAUACCCUUGUAGUC
This 440-nucleotide ribosomal RNA is filed under the name uncultured bacterium. Its description in RNAcentral is "partial 16S ribosomal RNA". It matches the Rfam family "Bacterial small subunit ribosomal RNA", at positions 338 to 795 of the family's 1533-position model. The record is from RNAcentral.